This 72-nucleotide transfer RNA is filed under the name Heterocephalus glaber (naked mole-rat). It matches the Rfam family "tRNA". From Rfam's summary of the family: Transfer RNA (tRNA) molecules are approximately 80 nucleotides in length. Lineage: Eukaryota; Metazoa; Chordata; Mammalia; Rodentia; Bathyergidae. The record is from Rfam by way of RNAcentral.
GGGGACGCAGCUCAAUGGUAGAGCAGUUGCUGAGCAUGUAUGAGGCCCUGGGUUCAAUUCCCAGCAUCACCA